Molecule: transfer RNA, 73 nt
Filed under: Monostroma nitidum
Lineage: Eukaryota; Viridiplantae; Chlorophyta; Ulvophyceae; Ulvales; Monostromataceae
Also listed under: 1 other name
Description: tRNA-Arg
Rfam family: tRNA
About the family: Transfer RNA (tRNA) molecules are approximately 80 nucleotides in length. Their secondary structure includes four short double-helical elements and three loops (D, anti-codon, and T loops).
Source: RNAcentral
GGGCGAGUAGCUCAGUGGAUAGAGUCUUUAGCUACGAACUAAAAAGCCGGGGGUUCGAAUCCCUCCUCGCUCA